Molecule: non-coding RNA, 72 nt
Organism: Ictidomys tridecemlineatus (thirteen-lined ground squirrel)
Lineage: Eukaryota; Metazoa; Chordata; Mammalia; Rodentia; Sciuridae
Source: Rfam
GGGGAUAUAGUUUAGUUGGUUGGGUGCUUGCCUUGCAUGCACAGGCCCUGGGUUCAAUCCCCAGUACCACCA